RNAcentral lists this ribosomal RNA (253 nucleotides) under uncultured bacterium. RNAcentral describes it as "partial 16S ribosomal RNA". It matches the Rfam family "Bacterial small subunit ribosomal RNA", at positions 524 to 776 of the family's 1533-position model. The record is from RNAcentral.
UACAGAGGGGGCAAGCGUUGUUCGGAAUUACUGGGCGUAAAGGGCGCGUAGGCGGCCGCCUAAGUCAGACGUGAAAUCCCUCGGCUCAACCGGGGAACUGCGUCUGAUACUGGGUGGCUUGAAUUCGGGAGAGGGAUGCGGAAUUCCAGGUGUAGCGGUGAAAUGCGUAGAUAUCUGGAGGAACACCGGUGGCGAAGGCGGCAUCCUGGACCGAGAUUGACGCUGAGGCGCGAAAGCUAGGGGAGCAAACGGG